GAUGAAGAACGCAGCGAAAUGCGAUAAGUAAUGUGAAUUGCAGAAUUCAGUGAAUCAUCGAAUCUUUGAACGCACAUUGCGCCCGUCAGUAUUCUGGCGGGCAUGCCUGUUCGAGCGUCAUUACGCCCCUCAAGUCCCCUGUGGACUUGGUGUUGGGGAUCGGCGAGGCUGGUUUUCCAGCACAGCCGUCCCUUAAAUUAAUUGGCGGUCUCGCCGUGGCCCUCCUCUGCGCAGUAGUAAAACACUCGCAACAGGAGCCCGGCGCGGUCCACUGCCGUAAAACCCCCCAACUUUUUAUAGUUGACCUCGAAUCAGGUAGGACUACCCGCUGAACUUAAGCAUAUCAAUAAGCGGAGA
Molecule: unclassified non-coding RNA, 357 nt
Filed under: soil metagenome
Description: partial contains 5.8S ribosomal RNA, internal transcribed spacer 2, and large subunit ribosomal RNA
Rfam family: 5.8S ribosomal RNA (bases 1-120)
Source: RNAcentral